CCCAAAGGCUGGCACCCUGAAAUCAAAGAACUUUGCUCCUCUCUUCCCAUGAAAACAUGAGCAGAACAGCCCCCAGGACUGUGCGCUACCAGGAGGUUAGACCAAGAGUGCAAAGUACAGGCAGAAGUCAGCAUAUGGAAAGGAAAAUUGAAGUGAAGUGCAUGGAGUCUCAAUUAAAAAACAACAAACAAACAAAACACACACACACACAAAAACCAAGUAAACAAACAAAACAAAAAAAUUAAAACCCCUGAAAUGCCACAGCCAUGGGGCCAGAUCUGUUGGACACUAUUUGAAGCUUCAUACUAACACGAGCAAUUGCAGCCAUAGACCACCUGGGCAAAGAGCGAAGCUGCUCCUGACUGCACUUGUUUUCUCUGGCAUCACUUUUCUCAAGUAUUUCCAAAUACCACUGAGUUUUGUGGUCUCAUACAGAUAUGACUUCGGUACCUAAACAGAAGACAAGUCCAGCUCUGGCUUGUUGCACCACAGCCCACAACAAAAUGGCUGUGGAAGAGACCUGUGGGGAAGGAAGAGAAGAAAAAUGUAAUAGUCCAAGCCUGAACUGACAAGGUCCUUCAGCCUUAUCUUCCAUGAGUUAUUACUGUUCGGGACAUCUGUGCCGGGAGAACAAACUUCUGGAUAAUUCAGCCCCAAACAGUUAAAAGCUGUUCCCUAGCUCCCAGGCUGCCUUCCCCCAAGAUGUAUACAACCAAGGAGGAUAGAGGUCAGGAAAGCAUCACUGCUCUCUGACCUGAAGCUGACAUUACCCUCACCAUGGUGCUGCCAGGUUUGUUGUCCCAUAGUUUGUGCCAGCUAUGGCCUCCUGGAUCAUCUGCUCAGAGCAUGGCUCACAGCCUUCUGCUCCUGGACACAUAACCUGUGCUUCUCACACGUCUUUCUCUGUACGCGCCCUUACUGCAACUAUCUGUGCAAAUUCUUUGUGGCCAUAAUUAUAUUCUCAGUUUCUCUCUUUAA
Anas platyrhynchos (mallard) is the source of this 978-nucleotide long non-coding RNA. RefSeq lists it as uncharacterized. Lineage: Eukaryota; Metazoa; Chordata; Aves; Anseriformes; Anatidae. The record is from RefSeq and is a predicted model, not a curated record.